UAGCCAGCACAUGACUCCGUUAGCGGUC
RNAcentral lists this non-coding RNA (28 nucleotides) under Homo sapiens (human). Lineage: Eukaryota; Metazoa; Chordata; Mammalia; Primates; Hominidae. The record is from RNAcentral.